Molecule: non-coding RNA, 30 nt
Filed under: Rattus norvegicus (Norway rat)
Lineage: Eukaryota; Metazoa; Chordata; Mammalia; Rodentia; Muridae
Source: RNAcentral
UGGGAAGGAUCCAGGAUCAAGCUAUCUAGA